AGAGUUUGAUCCUGGCUCAGAUUGAACGCUGGCGGCAUGCCUUACACAUGCAAGUCGAACGGUAACAGGUCUUCGGAUGCUGACGAGUGGCGAACGGGUGAGUGAUACAUCGGAACGUGCCCGAGAGUGGGGGAUAACGAAGCGAAAGCUUUGCUAAUACCGCAUACGAUCUCAGGAUGAAAGCAGGGGACCGCAAGGCCUUGCGCUCACGGAGCGGCCGAUGGCAGAUUAGGUAGUUGGUGGGAUAAAAGCUUACCAAGCCGACGAUCUGUAGCUGGUCUGAGAGGACGACCAGCCACACCGGGACUGAGACACGGCCCAGACUCCUACGGGAGGCAGCAGUGGGGAAUUUUGGACAAUGGGCGCAAGCCUGAUCCAGCCAUGCCGCGUGCAGGAUGAAGGCCUUCGGGUUGUAAACUGCUUUUGUACGGAACGAAAAGACUCUGGUUAAUACCUGGGGUCCAUGACGGUACCGUAAGAAUAAGCACCGGCUAGCUUCGUGCCAGCAGCCGCGGUAAUACGUAGGGUGCGAGCGUUAAUCGGAAUUACUGGGCGUAAAGCGUGCGCAGGCGGUUAUAUAAGACAGAUGUGAAAUCCCCGGGCUCAACCUGGGAACUGCAUUUGUGACUGUAUAGCUAGAGUACGGCAGAGGGGGAUGGAAUUCCGCGUGUAGCAGUGAAAUGCGUAGAUA
This 691-nucleotide ribosomal RNA is filed under the name uncultured bacterium. RNAcentral describes it as "bacterial SSU rRNA". It matches the Rfam family "Bacterial small subunit ribosomal RNA", at positions 8 to 696 of the family's 1533-position model. The record is from RNAcentral.